RNAcentral lists this ribosomal RNA (861 nucleotides) under Triticum aestivum (bread wheat). Its description in RNAcentral is "partial small subunit ribosomal RNA". Lineage: Eukaryota; Viridiplantae; Streptophyta; Magnoliopsida; Poales; Poaceae. The record is from RNAcentral.
AUGCCAGCAGCACUGCCGCCGACGCUCCCUGAGGAGCUUGUCGAAGAGAUCCUCCUCCGCAUCCCGCCCGAAGAGCCUGCCGGCCUCCUUCGCGCCUCCCUCGUCUGCAAGUCCUGGAGCCAGGCCGUCUCCCAUCGCGGAUUCCGGCGCCGCCUCCACGAUUUCCACCGGGCGCCCCCCGUGCUCGGGUUUCUCCAUGAUUGGGACGACGAGGACAUCCCCGACUUCAUCUCCGCCACUGUGUCGCCCUUCUCCCUUGCCGUCCCAGACAGCUGGCUCUGGCAGGCCGUCGACUGCCGCCACGGCCGCGCACUCUUCCUCUCUGAUGACCCUUAUGCUGAGGAACUCCUGGUGUGGGAGCCAAUCACGGGUUCCCAGCAGCGUGUGCCAGUGCCCGUGAUGUCUGAUAUCGGCCGCACAACCGCCGCAGUGUUCUGUGCAGCAGACGGGUGCGACCACUGCAACUGCCAUGGGGGCCCUUUCUGCGUUGUCUUCGUCUUCUCCGUUGACAGCGAAGAUCCUGACGACGGGGAAUAUGACACGGCGGCAUGUGUAUACUCGUCAGAGACCGGUGCUUGGGGCGAGCUGACCUUGAUGCAUGGGGAGUUCUACAUGCACUUCACAUAUUAUUCCAGUGUGCUUGUUGGGGAGUCUUUGCUCUACUUCAUGACUGAUGGUGGGUUGAUCCUGGAGUAUGACAUGGCAAUGCAUGGGCUGACUUGGUUCAAAGCACCAUACUCUUGCUACUCUAAGGGUAUACCCAGUUGCAUUCUCAUGCCGGCGGAGGACGGUGGACUGGGACUCGUUGAAGAAUUGGAUCCGCAUCUGAAAUUGUGGUCAAGGGAGAUGACUAAUGCCUGA